This 397-nucleotide ribosomal RNA is filed under the name uncultured bacterium. RNAcentral describes it as "bacterial SSU rRNA". It matches the Rfam family "Bacterial small subunit ribosomal RNA", at positions 955 to 1353 of the family's 1533-position model. The record is from RNAcentral.
AUUAACGCGAAGAACCUUACCAGGUCUUGACAUCUUCUGCUAACCUAAGAGAUUAGGCGUUCCCUUCGGGGACGGAAUGACAGGUGGGGCAUGGUUGUCGUCAGUUCGUGUCGUGAGAUGUUGGGUUAAGUCCCGCAACGAGCGCAACCCUUAUUGUCAGUUGCCAGCAUUUAGUUGGGCACUCUGGCGAGACUGCCGGUGACAAACCGGAGGAAGGUGGGGAUGACGUCAAAUCAUCAUGCCCCUUAUGACCUGGGCUACACACGUGCUACAAUGGACGGUACAACGAGUCGCGAAACCGCGAGGUCAAGCUAAUCUCUUAAAGCCGUUCUCAGUUCGGAUUGUAGGCUGCAACUCGCCUACAUGAAGUUGGAAUCGCUAGUAAUCGUGGAUCAGC